UACGAAGGGGGCGAGCGUUGUUCGGAUUUACUGGGCGUAAAGCGCACGUAGGCGGAUCGUUAAGUCGGGGGUGAAAUCCUGGAGCUCAACUCCAGAACUGCCUUCGAUACUGGCGAUCUUGAGUCCGGAAGAGGUGAGUGGAACUCCUAGUGUAGAGGUGGAAUUCGUAGAUAUUAGGAAGAACACCAGUGGCGAAGGCGGCUCACUGGUCCGGUACUGACGCUGAGGUGCGAAAGCGUGGGGAGCAAACAGG
RNAcentral lists this ribosomal RNA (253 nucleotides) under uncultured bacterium. Its description in RNAcentral is "partial 16S ribosomal RNA". It matches the Rfam family "Bacterial small subunit ribosomal RNA", at positions 524 to 776 of the family's 1533-position model. The record is from RNAcentral.